This 491-nucleotide ribosomal RNA is filed under the name uncultured bacterium. RNAcentral describes it as "partial 16S ribosomal RNA". It matches the Rfam family "Bacterial small subunit ribosomal RNA", at positions 29 to 507 of the family's 1533-position model. The record is from RNAcentral.
GUGAACGCUGGCGGUAGGCCUAACACAUGCAAGUCGAACGGCAGCACCGUAAGAGCUUGCUCUUACGGGUGGCGAGUGGCGGACGGGUGAGGAAUACAUCGGAAUCUACUUUUUCGUGGGGGAUAACGUAGGGAAACUUACGCUAAUACCGCAUACGACCUACGGGUGAAAGCAGGGGAUCUUCGGACCUUGCGCGAUUGAAUGAGCCGAUGUCGGAUUAGCUAGUUGGCGGGGUAAAGGCCCACCAAGGCGACGAUCCGUAGCUGGUCUGAGAGGAUGAUCAGCCACACUGGAACUGAGACACGGUCCAGACUCCUACGGGAGGCAGCAGUGGGGAAUAUUGGACAAUGGGCGCAAGCCUGAUCCAGCCACACCGCGUGGGUGAAGAAGGCCUUCGGGUUGUAAAGCCCUUUUGUUGGGAAAGAAAAGCAGCAGGUUAAUACCCCGCUGUUCUGACGGUACCCAAAGAAUAAGCACCGGCUAACUUCGUG